GGUCGGAGCAGAUCAGGAGAUGGGGGGCUUGGGGGAGGUGGUCGAAGGAGACGGGAGGUGAUCAAAUAGGGGCAGGGCAAAUCUAAGAGCAUAUGGGCUGCUUUGAUCGGGCCCAAAUUCGGGCUUGGGCCCGAGUCGGGCCCUAGCAGGACCAAAAGUCUGUUCAAGCCAGGCCCGAAAAUAAAAUGGAUCCUAUUUUUUGACCCAAAUCCGGCCCGAAUGAUUUCGGGUUGAGCCCAAAAUCCGGUCCAAAGCCGGCCCGAGCCCACUUCCAGCUCUACUUUCAAUUUUUUCUCAAUCUGAUUUCGAUUCUGAGGUAGAAUAAAAAUAAUUUAAUAUAUCUAAAACUCAAUCCUCACUCUCCCUUAAAGAUUCAAAUUAUCAUUUCGAUUGUAAUUUCGAUUAUGAACUAAAAGCUUCAGAGUAUUGAUCCUAAUCUAGUUGGAUUUUAAUCAAUUUCAAUUCUGAUUACAAGUCAAACAUCCUCUUGGUGUGUCUUCAU
RNAcentral lists this long non-coding RNA (502 nucleotides) under Elaeis guineensis (African oil palm). RNAcentral's name for it is "long non-coding RNA (EGUI_LNC015643)". The record is from RNAcentral. Lineage: Eukaryota; Viridiplantae; Streptophyta; Magnoliopsida; Arecales; Arecaceae.